Molecule: long non-coding RNA, 303 nt
Filed under: Homo sapiens (human)
Lineage: Eukaryota; Metazoa; Chordata; Mammalia; Primates; Hominidae
Description: HSALNT0100472
Source: RNAcentral
GGCAGGGGUGAAUUUGACUAAUGAAGAACAUGAGUUCUGAAACCCUGUCUUGUUGUUCAAAAAUAGGUAUGGAAAUGUGGUGGAUGUUCUUUCUAAGAGAAAAACCUACAUCAUUAAGAAAGCCAGAGUCUAUACACUUAGGGUAGUCCCAGCAGAGGCAUAUGGGAUAUACAUUCCAGGCUGAGGAAGAGUUCCUUUCUAUCUAGGAAAAUACCGAGCAGCAUCACAGCAAAUGUGAUGAUUCUGUUGACAGAAAAAUGAGCAAACACCUAGCAACUUGUAUACAGUUGUAUACCCGCAAAG